Molecule: transfer RNA, 70 nt
Filed under: Toxocara canis (dog roundworm)
Lineage: Eukaryota; Metazoa; Nematoda; Chromadorea; Rhabditida; Toxocaridae
Rfam family: tRNA
About the family: Transfer RNA (tRNA) molecules are approximately 80 nucleotides in length. Their secondary structure includes four short double-helical elements and three loops (D, anti-codon, and T loops).
Source: Rfam by way of RNAcentral
GGGGCAGUAGCUCAGUGUUAGAGCUCCCGUUUCGUAGGCGGGAAGACGUGGGAUCGAUUCGCUUCUUCCU